AUAUCAUUGUUUAAUAUAUUGAUUCCAUAUUUGGAUAAUUUUAUUAGUGCAUUUUUUGGAUCGGCAAUGGGCUUGAACGUUUAUAACCCAGUUUCCCAGUAAAACUGUAAUGUGGAUAGUAGAUUGGUUGCUGCAGUUUCUAGGGGCACUGCAGUCCUUUCCAAACUUUAUUGGUAGGAAUGGGGCGAGGGCCGUGUGACUGCUGUAUACAUUAAAAACACACGCACUGGGAAGUAAUUGAAGCAGCAAGGAUAUGCAGGGGAAAGUUCCUUUCCCAGUUUCUAAGAUGUCGUAAUUACGCAUUGUGACAUUGUUAACAGUCAGGAAAUAUUAUUAACUCUACCGAGAAGGAGACGAAAGAUGAAAUGACUUGAUCGUAACACGACAAGAAAAAGAUCUGUAUCGAUCCUGAUUAUUACAAGAGUUCUCCAUUUCUCCUCCAACGCGCCAGCAAUAAACAAACGUCUCGAAACUCUGCAUCAAAUGAGGUAAACGAUACGUUCUCCAACCACUGGCCAAAGAGCGAGCGUGGAAGGCAGUAGAGCGAGUGGUCAUUCUGAGGCAAAAAAGUGAUUUCAAAGCCUGAACAGAUCAGGAUGACCGCACUCAGAGCUCGGGCUCGUUCUUAGCCUAGAUCGUGAACUUAAGACUGAAAGCCAGACAGAAUGAGUCUUUCAUUGUGCUUUGCUAAAUAAAGAUUCGAAAAGUCUUCGUACACUCACCACUUGUCGAUCUAUAUGAGAUUACUUUCAAUUACUUAACAUGUAAUUUUAUUAACAAAAAAAUCUAUGUAACACUUUAUGAAGUGUUGUGUUAAAAAAAACCUCACCCUUCAAGUGUACUCGUCAUUAUGCGUGUGCGCAGUAAAUUCCUUUCAGUCUACCAACUAGAAUAAGUAGCUGCCAUCUACAGACUAUUUAAAAAAAAACCUCCAGUUCCUUAAGAUGUUUUUACACCGCUGGAUGAUCGAAGAGAGAUUAUUGUCUCGUGCCUUGAAAACUAAAUCUAAAAACAAUGGCGCCCUUUUACUUGCACUGCAUUAAUCGGUUUUACAGUUAGACAUCUGAGACCACUGUACAUUUUGUCCCUCAGAAUAUUGUUGCAAAUAGACUUUUUAAAGUGUACUUUAUGAAAAUGUUCAAGCUAAGUUGAUAAGUAAACGCUGAAAUCUGACAACC
This is a non-coding RNA of Chiloscyllium plagiosum (whitespotted bambooshark), 1178 nucleotides long. The record is from RefSeq and is a predicted model, not a curated record. Lineage: Eukaryota; Metazoa; Chordata; Chondrichthyes; Orectolobiformes; Hemiscylliidae.